Ictidomys tridecemlineatus (thirteen-lined ground squirrel) is the source of this 119-nucleotide ribosomal RNA. The record is from Ensembl. Lineage: Eukaryota; Metazoa; Chordata; Mammalia; Rodentia; Sciuridae.
GUCUAUAGCCAUACUACCUUGAAUGCAUCUAAUUUCAUCUGAUCUCAGAAGCUAAGCAGAGUUGGGCCUGGUUAGUCCUUAGAUGGGAAACCAAUUGGGAAUAUGGGAUACUGUAGGCU